UUAAAUGCAAUGAACAGAAUUAGUACAGACAAGUUGGAACUGUCAGAGAGAAGCUGCCAUCGGCUGGAAGCGGCUUUGAGGGAAUGUCUGGAAUGCAUCUGGGAGCAGACAAGAUGAAUAAAGUAGUUUUGUACGUUGCCGGCGUUAACGGAUUCGAGUGAAAGUAUCCUGAUCAAGUGAUAUUAGUCAGAUAUAUAAUAAGAAGAUCAGGAACUUUUAAAAGAGUGGAACCGCGGAUAUACUCCGUCUCUUUA
RNAcentral lists this non-coding RNA (254 nucleotides) under Clostridiales bacterium. RNAcentral describes it as "T-box sequence". It matches the Rfam family "T-box leader". From Rfam's summary of the family: Uncharged tRNA acts as the effector for transcription antitermination of genes in the T-box leader family. T-boxes are found upstream of many aminoacyl-tRNA synthetase genes and some amino acid biosynthetic genes usually in Gram-positive bacteria. Lineage: Bacteria; Bacillati; Bacillota; Clostridia; Eubacteriales. The record is from RNAcentral.